RNAcentral lists this long non-coding RNA (207 nucleotides) under Nicotiana benthamiana. Its description in RNAcentral is "long non-coding RNA (NBEN_LNC013360)". Lineage: Eukaryota; Viridiplantae; Streptophyta; Magnoliopsida; Solanales; Solanaceae. The record is from RNAcentral.
CGGAAUUUAAAAAUUGCAGGAAAUAAAUAAGUGCGAUAAGUAAAUAAAUUAGAACAAACGCCUCGAUGUAUCCUGGUUCACCACAACCCGUGGCUAGUCUAGUCCCCGAGAUACUCUCUCGAGAUUUCCACUAACUUGUUAAGCUUACGGGUGCUCAACAAACCGUUACAACUUGAGGACACAAGCCUCAACAACCUUUGCUCGGAG